This is a long non-coding RNA of Pantherophis guttatus, 1378 nucleotides long. RefSeq lists it as uncharacterized. The record is from RefSeq and is a predicted model, not a curated record. Lineage: Eukaryota; Metazoa; Chordata; Lepidosauria; Squamata; Colubridae.
GGGGGGGGAGAGCUAGUCCUGGGACUUCUCCGACUUGAACCAUAGCCGCACCGGGAUCAGAGGUUACCUGAAAGGGCAUCUAGCCGAACCCCUCUUGCCGAGGCGGGGAAAAAAAUGCUGCCACCGAUUUUCAAGGCUCUGUUGACUCUCCGUCUCCCACAGUCCAAGGUGCAUAAGCAGCAGGGUGAAAUAACGGGAUCGUAUCACUUCCCAAGGCUGAGGGGGAAGGGGGCUCCUGCGCGUUCCCAUUUCGAUCAGAGCAUUGGACACGACACGUGUUUCCUUCCCCCUCCCCCCCACACACACAUCCAUCUCUAUAUUAGUGGGGUGAGCCUGUAUUGGCCACUAACAGAAUUGCUCCUCUUGUUUGCUUCUAAAGCCCCCCCCCUGUGUCAAAGGCUAUGUCUGCAUUCUCUCUCGCCCGCAUUUCAGUAACAAGAGUUGGAAGGGACCUUGGAGGACAUCUAGCCCAACCCCCUGCUCACGCAGGAGACCUAUACUCGGGAUUCGAACCGCCGACCUUUCUGAUCGACGAGCUCAGCGUCUUAGCCACUGAGCCACCUAGCCAAGCCAUCUUUCCAAGAUGCUCCUCCCUUCCGCCCUCCAGGGAAGGGAUUGGGGGGGGGGUCUCCUUUUUCUCCCCUUCCCUAAACGAACGGGGUCUCACCCCCCUCCCUCCGUCCCGGAACGAUGCGUGUGUGUGUGUGUGUGUGUGUGUGUGUGUGUGUGUUUGUGUGCGCAGCGCCUAGCGCAGAUGUGGGGUUUUCCGAAGCUUCCGCGAGAUUCCUCCACGUUGCCCGUCCGCUGUUUUUCCCGAACUCCACGUUGCAAAUCCCCGCGGCUCCUGACUCCGCGAAAACAUUGUCUCCAUGGCAACGGUCAACUCCUCCGCCGCCGCCCGCGGGAGUGAACUUGCACCACGGUGAUGUCAGGCUGGCGUGGAAGAAGAGUUCACUGGCGAGCACGGAUUGCCUUCAGGCGGAGACGCCUGGUUACCUAGUACACAAAGCGUGCCAGGAUCUCGUUUGUGCAAGAAUGGAAAUCCAAAAAUAUUCCAUCGGAGGCUAUGUUAACCGCAAAGAUCAUGGAUUGUGCAGAGGCAGACAAGCUUACCGGACUCUUGCGAGAUAGACAAGAAUCGGAGCUAUAUAUUAGUUGGGACCGGUGGUAUGCUUGGCUGCAAAAAAGAAAUCUGAAGAAGAAUGUAAAAUAAUAAUCUUAGUGUGACUGGGGGUGAAUAUUUAUAGGAAUAUUGCAUGGCAGUUGAGAAUUCUUUCUUCUGGAUAAUCUUUUCUUUUUUUGAUGAUUUGGUUUAAUGGAGGUUUGUACUAUUUCUAGGCGAAAACUGAUACCUUAAAACUCUAUAUGUAUUAUAUUA